This 425-nucleotide ribosomal RNA is filed under the name uncultured bacterium. Its description in RNAcentral is "bacterial SSU rRNA". It matches the Rfam family "Bacterial small subunit ribosomal RNA", at positions 354 to 796 of the family's 1533-position model. The record is from RNAcentral.
GUCGGGAAUAUUGCGCAAUGGAGGAAACUCUGACGCAGUGACGCCGCGUAUAGGAAGAAGGUUUUCGGAUUGUAAACUAUUGUCGUGAGGGAAGAAAUUGACAGUACCUCAGGAGGAAGCUCCGGCUAACUAUGUGCCAGCAGCCGCGGUAAUACAUAGGGAGCAAGCGUUAUCCGGAUUUAUUGGGUGUAAAGGGUGCGUAGACGGGAAAUUAAGUUAGUUGUGAAAUCCCUUGGCUUAACUGAGGAACUGCAACUAAAACUGGUUUUCUUGAGUACUGGAGAGGAAAGUGGAAUUCCUAGUGUAGCGGUGAAAUGCGUAGAUAUUAGGAGGAACACCAGUGGCGAAGGCGACUUUCUGGACAGUAACUGACGUUGAGGCACGAAAGUGUGGGGAGCAAACAGGAUUAGAAACCCCGGUAGUCC